UUCUUACAUCGGACGAUCCGAACUUAAAUAUCAUACUCCACAGUCGUAAAUACAACCUCUCCAAAAUACGACUUAAAUCCAACGGCCGGAUUCUACAUUAAUUACCCGCCAAAAAUACCACACUUCGGAAAUUCAUAAACCUAUCCAAAACUCAUCCAAAAAUUCCAUAACUCACUUCAAUAAACUCCCCUUAAUAUUCCAAAUUUAACAACAUUAAAAUCUCCCAACCGGCGGCGGCUCCGCCGGCAGCGGCGGCCGGAGGUCAAUUCCGGCGACCUCCAAAACCUAUGAAAUUUUAACAGCAUCUUCCUCUCAUCAAGCUCUACAACUUUCAUAACUAGCACAAACACCAAUUCCAAGCCUAACCAGGGCUAUCGACUAAAAACAUCAAAAACACCAUAAAACUUCCACUUCAAAUUUCUCCUUACCUAGCUCAAGAGGGAGUGAGUCCUUUUAGGGCAAGGUUGCUGGGUUGGAGGGCUACAAAACCAUACCAAGCUUGCCCGGAUUGGUGGCCGGAGGAGGAAGUUCCGGCGAAGUGAAGGUUUGGACAGUCGGACCUUACGGGUGGCACCGCUCCUUCACGGCGGCGCUAGGGCUCCUCUCACCGGUCUAGAAAUGUUGCUGGGAGGGAGACCGACCGAACGGGACCGGUCCGGUGGCGAACGGAGGUCGGACGGCGGCGGGAGGACGGCCGGAAAACCGGUGGGUGUAGAGAGAAGAAAAUCGGGUGAGAAGAGAAGAAAAAUCGGGAGGGAGAGAGAGAGAAAGGAAGAAGAAAUGGGUUGGGCUCGGCCCAGCCGACCCAACUCUCCUUUUAAUCCAAAAUUCAACACCCCGAAAAAUAAUACCCGAAUAAAAAUUACCUUUUACUAGCUAAAAUUUACUAUUUUUACCGUCGUCGUAUUUUCUUCAUACUAAUAAUCCUCCGCACAUAAUCGUCCCCGAAACCCCUCUAGGGACCAAUUAAACUAUUUACUCAAUGACGGAGACGGUAAAAUUCUUAUUAUAAUCACGCUAGUAAAUAAGGUAAAAAUAUAAGGGUCGGGAUGUGACACGAAGGGGCUGCCUUCACCUGUCUAAGGCCGCCAAGGGGCCAAUUUGACCCUCCUAGGCCCGUCUCGGGCCACCAAGGGGCCGCCUUAACCCGCCAAGAGGCUGCCUUUAGUCCUUCACCCUUCUUAGGACAGCCAAGGGUCAGCCUUGACCCGCUAUAAGGGCUGCCUUAACCUUCCUAGACCCGUUUAGGGCCGCCUUGACCCACCUAGGGACACCAAGGGGCCGCCUUGACCUGCUAAGGGGCUGCCUUCACCCGUCAAAGGCCACCAAGGGGCCGCCUUCACCCGUCUUGGGCUGCCUUUAGCCGCCUUAGACUGUCUUGGCCUGUCUUGACCCGCCUAGGGCCGCCAAGAGACCACUUAAGGCCGCCUUGAUCUUCUUAGGGUCGCUAAGCGGCCGCCUUGACCCGCCUAGAGACGCCUAGGGGCAGCUUUGACCAGCUAAGGGGCUGCCUUCACCCGUCUAAGGCCACCUUGAUCAGCUAAGGGGAUGCCUUGGGCCCCCUUGACCCGUUUUUGGCUGCCUUGGGCCGCCUUGACCCGACUUGACCCUCCUUGAUCCGCCUUGACCCACCUUAGGCCACCUUGACAUGCCCUGACCCGCUUAGGGCCGCCUUGACCCUUGUAGGCCCGCCUAAGGCCACCAAUGGGCCGCCAUGACCCGCUUUGGGCUGCCCUUACCCGCCUUAACUCAACUAGGGCCGCCAAGAGGCCGCCUUGACCUGCUUAGGGCCGUCUUAACCUGUUAAAGGGCUGGCUUGACCCUGUUACACCCUCCUUGACCUGCCUAGGGCCGCUAAGCGGCCACCUUGACCCGCUUAGGGCAGCUAAGGGGCUGCCUUAACUCGCUAAGGGGCUGCCUUCACCCGUCUAAGGCCGCUUUAACCCGCUAAGUGGCUGCCUUGACCCUUUAAGUGGCUGCCUUGACCCUCAUAGACCCACGUUGGGCCGUUUUAAUCCUCUUAGGCCCUCGUAGACCCGUCUAUGGCCACCAAGGGGUCGCCUUGACCCUUUAAGUGGCUGCCUUGACCCUCAUAGACCCACGUUGGGCCGCCUUAAUCCUCUUAGGCCCUCGUAGACCCGUCUAUGGCCACCAAGGGGUCACCUUGACCCGCUUAGGCCGCCAUGACCUAUCUAGAGCCGCCAUAGGCCGCUUUAACCCGCCUUGGCUCGCCCUGAACCUCCAUGCCCGGUCUUGACCCGCCUUUCCCAGUUUUGACCCGCCUUGACCCUCUUAGGGCCUUCAAGAGGUUGCCUUGUCCUGGCUGGGCCACUAAGGGGUCGUGUUCACCCGUCUAGGGCCGCUUUAACCCGCCUUGGCCCGCCAUGGGCUGCCUUGACCCGCCUUGCUCUGUCUUGAGCUGCCUUGACCCUCCUAGGGCCACCAAGGGGCCGCAUUGAUUCACCUAGGACCACCAAGGGGCCGCCUUGACCAGUUUAGGCCCACCUUUGGCUGUCUUGACCCGCCUUUGGCUGCCUUGACCCACCUUGGACUGCCUUGACCCACCAAGGGCCACCAAGGGGCCGUCUUGACCCGCUUUGGCUGCCUUAACCGGCCUUUAGCCGCCAUAGACAGCCUUGGGUUGCCUUGACCCGCCUUGACCAGCUAAGGGGCUGCCUUCACCCGUCUAAGGCCACCUUGACCCGCUAAGGGGUUGCCUUGGCCCACCUUGGCCCGCCUUGAUCCUUCUUGGGCCGCCUUGAUAGGUCUAGGGCCGCCUUGACCUUUUUUGGCCUGCCAUGAUCCGCCUUGGGUUGCCUUGGCUCGCCUUGACCCACCUUGGGCCGCCCUUGCCCGCCUUGACUCUCUUAGGGCCGCCAAGAGGCCGCCUUAACCCAUCUAGGGCCACCAAGAGGCAGUCUUAACCCAUCUAGGGAGGCCAAGCGGCAACGUUCACUAGUCUAAGGCUGCCAAGGGGCCGCCUUGGGAUGCCUUAAGCCGCCUUGGACCGCCUAGGGCCGCCAAGAGACCGCUUAGGGCCACGUUGACCUGCCUAAGGCAGCUAAGCGGCCGUCUUGACCAGCCUAGACACGUUUAGGGGCCUCCUUGACCAGCUAAGGGGCUGCCUUCACCCGUCUAAGGCCACCUUGAUUGACCUGUUGCCUUAGGCCGCCUUGACCCUCCUUGGCCCACCUUUAUCCGUCUUAACCUGCCUUGACUCGCCUAGGGCCACCAAGGGGCCGCCUUGACUCUCCUUGGGCCUCCCUUGCCCGCCUUGACCCUCCUUGGGUCGCCAAGAGGCCGCCUUAACCCAUCUAGGGUUGCCAAGGGGCCGCCUUGACCCGCUAAAGGGCUGCCUUGACCCUCCUAGGGCCGCUAAGAGGCCGCCAUGACCCGCCUAGGGCAGGCAAGGGGCUGCCUUCACCUGUCUAAGGCCGCCUUUACCCGCUAAGAGGCUGCCUUAACCCUCCUAGACCCACGUUGGGCUACCUUGAUCCUCAUAGGCCCUCCUAGACCCGUGUAGGGCCACCAAGGGGCCGCCUUGACCCACUUAGGGCCGCCUUGAACCACUUAGGGCCGCCUUGACCUAUCUAGGGCAGCUAAGACCCGCCUGGACCUGUCUAGGGCAGCUAAGACCCGCCUUGCCCCGUCAUGACCCUCUUAGGGCCGCCAAGAGGCCGCCUUGAUCUGGCUAGGGCCACCAAGUGGUCGCGUUCACCUGUCUAAGGCCGCCUUGACUCGCCUUGGCCUGCGUUGCCCCGUCUUGAGCCGCCUUGACAUUCCAAGGACCGCUAUGAGGCCGCCUUCACCUGCCAAGGGGCUACCUUGACCCUCCUAGAUCCGCCUAGGGCCGCUUUGACCCCCUAGGCCUGCCUAGGUUCACCAAGUAGCCGCCUUGACCCCCUUGUCCCGUCUUAACCAGCCUUGACCCUCCUAGGGCCACCAAGAGGCCGCCUUAACCCAUUUAAGGCCACAAAGGGCCGCCUUGAUCUGGCUAGGGCUGCCAAGGGGUCGUGUUCGCUCGCCUUAACCUGCUACUGUGCUGCCUUGAUCCUCCUAGGCCCUCCUAACUCGCCUAGGGCCACCAAGGGGUCGCCUUGACUUGCCUAGGGACGCCAUGAUCUGUCUAGGGGCCGCCUUGGGCCAUCUUGACCCUCUUAGGGCCGCCAUGAUCCAUCUAGGGGCAGUCUUAACCCUUAUACGGCCACCAAGGGGCCGCCUUGACCCGUCAAGGGGUCGUUAGGGGGCCGCCUUCACCCAUCUAAGGCCGCCAAAGGGCUGCCUUCAUCGGCCAAGGGGCUGCCUUGACCCUCCUAGACCCGCCUUAAUCAAUCUAGGGUCACUAAGGGACCGCCUUGACUUGGCUAGGGUUGCCAAGGGGUCGCGUUCACCCGUCUAAGGCCGCCAAGGGGCCGCCCUGAUCUGCUAAAGGUCUUCCUUGACCCUUCUAGACGCACCUAGGGCUGCCUUGACCCUCCUAGGCCCUCUUAGACCCGUCUAGGGCCACCAAGGGGUCGCCUUCACCCGCCUUGACCCUCUUAGGGCCGCCAAGAGGUCGCGUUCACCUGGUUAGGGCCACUAAGGGUCGCGUUCACCUGUCUAGGGCCGCCUUGACCCGCCUUGAACCUCCUUAACCUGUCUUGAGCCGCCUUGAUGUUAGGUGAUGUGAAUAGGCACAUAGGAAUGGAAAAAAACCAGACGUUCAGAAAAAGUGAAAUUUCUCAAAAACUCUUGUGCUAUAACAAAUGGUUUUGGCCGAAAUUUGGUGAAACUUAAAAAGAUGGGUAACACGUAAGCUUUUUCAAAAUUUAGGUUCCCGAGGUUAGUAUGAGAAGAAUUGAAGACUCCACAAAAAUGGCGAUUCAAUGAGUUCCACUGAAAGUAACAGUUCCAACACCUUUACCAAAUAAAGUUGUCGUGAGUAAUUUAGGCUCGAUUGCGAGGAAAAUGAUAAAGGCCAUGAGCUUUUGAUGCUAUAAUGGUUCAAUUGAUGUUAGGUGAUGUGUAUAAGCACACAUGAAUGGAAAAACACCAGACGUUCAGAAAAAAUAAAUUUCUCAAAAACUCAUGUGCUAUUAUAAGGGGUUUUGGCCGAAAUUUGGUGAAACUUGAAAAGAUGGGUAACACGUAAGCUUGUUCAAAAUUUAGGUUCCUGAGGUCAAUAUGAGAAGAAUUGAAGACUCAACAAGCAUCGCAAUACACUUUUUUCCACUGAAAGUAACAGUUCCAACUCAUUUACCAAACAAAGUUGUCGUGAGUAAUUUAGGCUUGAUUGCGAGUAAAAUGAUAAAAGCCACGAGCUAUUGAUGCUAUAAUUUUUCAAUUGAUGUUAGAUGAUGUGUAUAAGCACACAGGAAUGAAAACACCAAACGUUCAAAAAAAGUGAAAUUUCUCAAAAACUCGUGUGCUAACAAGGGGUUUUGGCCGAAAUUUGGUGAAACUUGAAAAGAUGGGUAACACGUAAGCUUUUUCAAAAUUUAGGUUCCCGAGGUCAGUAUGAGAAGAAUUGAAGACUCCGCAAGAAUGGCGAUUCAAUGAGUUCCACUGAAAGUAACAGUUCCAACACCUUUACCAAACAAAGUUGUCAUGAGUAAUUUAGGCUCGAUUGCGAGUAAAAUGAUAAAGGCCACGAGCUUUUGAUGAUAUAAUGGUUCAAUUGAUGUUAGGUGAUGUGUAUAAGCACACAAGAACGAAAAAAAAAUCAGAUGUUCAGAAAAAGUGAAAUUUCUCCGAAACUCGUGUGCAUAAGGGGUUUUGGCCGAAAUUUCGUUAAACUUGAAAAGAUGGGUAGCACGUAAGCUUUUUCAAAAUUUAUUCCCGAGGUCAUUAUGAGAAGAAUUCAAGACUGAACAAGCAUGAUGAUUCACUUUGUUCCACUGAAAGUAACCGUUUCAACACUUUUACAAAACAAAGUUGUCGUGAGUCAUUUAGGCUCGAUUGCGAGUAAAAUGAUAAAGGGCACGAGCUUUUGAUGCUGUAAUGGUUCAAUUGUUGUUAGGUGAUGUGUAUAAGCACCUAGGAAAGGAAAAAAACCAGAUGUUCAAAAAAAGUGAAAUUUCUUAAAAACUCGUGUGUUAUAACAAAGGGUUUUGGCUGGAAUUUGGUGAAAUUUGAAAAGAUGGGUAACACGUAAGGUUUUCAAAAUUUAGGUUCCUGAGGUUAGUAUGAGAAGAAUUGAAGACUCCACAAGCAUGACGAUUCAAUGAGUUCCACUGAAAGUAACAGUUCCAACACUUUUACAAAACAAAGUUGUCUUGAGUCAUUUAGGUUCGAUUGCGAGUAAAAUGAUAAAGGGCACGAGCUAUUGAUGCUAUAAUUUUUCAAUUGAUGUUAGGUGAUGUGUACAAGCACACAUGAAUGGAAAAACACCAACCGUUCAAAAAAAGUGAAAUUUCUCAAAAACUCGUGUGCUAUAACAAAGGGUUUUGGCCGAAAUUUGGUGAAACUUGAAAAGAUGGGUAACAAGUAAGCUUUUUCAAAAUGUAGGUUCCCGAGGUCAAUAUGAGAAGAAUUGAAGAGUUCAUAAGCAUGGCGAUUCAAUGAGUUCCAUUGAAAGUAACAGUUCCAACACCUUUACCAAACAAAGUUGUUGUGAGUAAUUUAAGUUCGAUUGUGAGUAAAAUGAUAAAGGCUACGAGCUUUUGAUGCUAUAAUGGUUCAAUUGAUGUUAGGUGACGUGUAUAAGCACAUAGGAACGGAAAAAACCAAACGUUCAAAAAAGUGAAAUUUCUUAAAAAGUCGUGUGCUAUAACAAGGGGUUUUAGUCGAAAAUUGGUGAAACUUGAAAAGAUAGGUAGCACGCAAGCUUUUUCAAAAUUUAGGUUCUUGAGGUUAGUAUGAGAGAAUUGAAGACUCCAUAAGCAUCGCGAUACACUU
Molecule: long non-coding RNA, 6876 nt
Filed under: Fragaria vesca (wild strawberry)
Lineage: Eukaryota; Viridiplantae; Streptophyta; Magnoliopsida; Rosales; Rosaceae
Description: long non-coding RNA (FVES_LNC002144)
Source: RNAcentral